CAAAACCAUAUCGACUUCGUCGUUCCUUUUCAACUUUUCGGCUUUAUCAUUUUUAUGGAUCAGCCCUAACUUUCCUAAAUUAAGCUUCUCAUUACUGGUAAUAAAUCCAUGAACUUCUUUGAGAUUCCCAUUGCGGAUUUGGGUGCCCUUAUUGUGGAAUCGUUAUGGGUGUUUUUCAAGAGAAGGAUUUGUCGGUAUGUGUGAUUACCACGGCGGCGACAUUUGGGUGGUUCUAGAUGAGGUGUGGUGUGAUGGAGGUGGAUAUGGUGUUGUCAAUUGUGUUGUGGACUUGGGGUACUGGUGGUUGUAGAUGACGUCCAUGUGAUGAUGCGAUGGACGUGGAUGUACUCCUGGUGGUUUUGGUGGGGUGAUUUGCCGAUUUGAGGUGA
RNAcentral lists this long non-coding RNA (389 nucleotides) under Olea europaea (common olive). RNAcentral describes it as "long non-coding RNA (OEUR_LNC006978)". Lineage: Eukaryota; Viridiplantae; Streptophyta; Magnoliopsida; Lamiales; Oleaceae. The record is from RNAcentral.